RNAcentral lists this ribosomal RNA (309 nucleotides) under uncultured eukaryote. RNAcentral describes it as "partial 18S ribosomal RNA". It matches the Rfam family "Eukaryotic small subunit ribosomal RNA", at positions 1470 to 1796 of the family's 1831-position model. The record is from RNAcentral.
CCCUUAGAUGUUCUGGGCGGCCCGCGCACUACACUGGCACUCUCAAUCAGAGCCUGGAUCUAACACUUUGGGGUAUUCUAUGAAGUGGUGUCGUGACUGGAAUUAACCCUUGCAAUUAUUGGUUACGAACGAGGAAUUCCUUGUAAUCGCGGUUUAUCAGCCCGCGUUGAAUGCGUCCCUGCCCUUUGUACACACCGCCCGUCGCUCCUACCGAUGGAUCGUCCGGUGAAGCUCAUGGAGGGGCGGUUGUCUCAGCUGCCGUCGAAGUGAAAUGGACCUCACGAUCUAGAGGAAGGAGAAGUCGUAACA